This 559-nucleotide ribosomal RNA is filed under the name Probreviceps macrodactylus macrodactylus. RNAcentral describes it as "partial 16S ribosomal RNA". It matches the Rfam family "Bacterial large subunit ribosomal RNA", at positions 1830 to 2597 of the family's 2925-position model. The record is from RNAcentral. Lineage: Eukaryota; Metazoa; Chordata; Amphibia; Anura; Brevicipitidae.
CGCCUCCCGCCCAAUGAUGGGAGGUCCAGCCUGCCCAAUGAUACAUUGAAUGGCCGCGGUACUCUUACCGUGCGAAGGUAGCAUAAUCACUUGUUCAUUAAAUAUGGACUAGUAUGAACGGCAUCACGAGGGUCAUACUGUCUCCCUACUCCAAUCAAUGAAACUAUUUUUCCCGUGAAGAAACGGGAAUUAAACUAUAAGACGAGAAGACCCCAUGGAGCUUUAAACCCAGAACAUCUACCAACCCCCCCCCCAUUUUUACCUAACUAUAGUAUUCAUGUUUUCUGGUUUUUGGUUGGGGCGACCACGGAGCAAAAAAAAUCCUCCACGAUGAACAAGCUUUACUUUUACCCAUGAAGCACACUUCUAAGGACCCUUAAUAUGACAUUUCUUGACCCAAGCCUACUUGAUCAACGAACCUAGUUACCCUGGGGAUAACAGCGCAAUCCAUUUCAAGAGCCCAUAUCGACAAAUGGGUUUACGACCUCGAUGUUGGAUCAGGGUAUCCCAGUGGUGCACCCGCUACUAAAGGUUUGUUUGUUCAACAAUUAAUAACCCU